RNAcentral lists this ribosomal RNA (747 nucleotides) under uncultured bacterium. RNAcentral's name for it is "bacterial SSU rRNA". It matches the Rfam family "Bacterial small subunit ribosomal RNA", at positions 8 to 749 of the family's 1533-position model. The record is from RNAcentral.
AGAGUUUGAUCCUGGCUCAGAUUGAACGCUGGCGGCAGGCUUAACACAUGCAAGUCGAGCGGGGAAAGGUAGCUUGCUACCUGACCUAGCGGCGGACGGGUGAGUAAUGCUUAGGAAUCUGCCUAUUAGUGGGGGACAACAUUCCGAAAGGAAUGCUAAUACCGCAUACGCCCUACGGGGGAAAGCAGGGGAUCUUCGGACCUUGCGCUAAUAGAUGAGCCUAAGUCAGAUUAGCUAGUUGGUGGGGUAAAGGCCUACCAAGGCGACGAUCUGUAGCGGGUCUGAGAGGAUGAUCCGCCACACUGGGACUGAGACACGGCCCAGACUCCUACGGGAGGCAGCAGUGGGGAAUAUUGGACAAUGGGCGAAAGCCUGAUCCAGCCAUGCCGCGUGUGUGAAGAAGGCCUUUUGGUUGUAAAGCACUUUAAGCGAGGAGGAGGCUACUUAGAUUAAUACUCUAGGAUAGUGGACGUUACUCGCAGAAUAAGCACCGGCUAACUCUGUGCCAGCAGCCGCGGUAAUACAGAGGGUGCGAGCGUUAAUCGGAUUUACUGGGCGUAAAGCGUGCGUAGGCGGCUUUUUAAGUCGGAUGUGAAAUCCCUGAGCUUAACUUAGGAAUUGCAUUCGAUACUGGGAAGCUAGAGUAUGGGAGAGGAUGGUAGAAUUCCAGGUGUAGCGGUGAAAUGCGUAGAGAUCUGGAGGAAUACCGAUGGCGAAGGCAGCCAUCUGGCCUAAUACUGACGCUGA